UAAUAACUGAACUAUGAUGGGUGGCC
This 26-nucleotide non-coding RNA is filed under the name Mus musculus (house mouse). Lineage: Eukaryota; Metazoa; Chordata; Mammalia; Rodentia; Muridae. The record is from RNAcentral.